RNAcentral lists this unclassified non-coding RNA (364 nucleotides) under Spathelia bahamensis. Its description in RNAcentral is "partial external transcribed spacer". The record is from RNAcentral. Lineage: Eukaryota; Viridiplantae; Streptophyta; Magnoliopsida; Sapindales; Rutaceae.
CUGUGUUGCUUACCAAUGGAAUGGAAUUCGAUGGUUUCGGUAUUAUCAUCCGCCCCGUGCCCCUUGGGGUGUGGGGCGGACGCGAGGCGGUCUUCGUGUUCCGGGCACGCCCCCAAUGGGGUGGCUGCUGCGGCCCAUGGAGUUCCUGCCCGUGCUCUCGGAUGCGGAAUGCUAUGACGCGUGGGUGCGAGGUCCCGGCCUCGAUUCUCCCCGAAUGUAUGCAAACCUACUCCUGCGAACGACUGCCGUGCCCGUCUUGAUCCGAAUGCCCGGGCCCUCCAACGAGGCCUGGCCCAGUCGGCCCAUGCCCGCACCGGCNUCGAAGGAGGAAUGCUACCUGGUUGAUCCUGCCAGUAGUCAUAUG